GGCAUUGGGAAACAACGGGAAAGGCCGUCUGACAAAUUCAUAAUCUGUAGGUCACAGGUUCGAUUCCUGUCGGGAUCACCA
Molecule: transfer RNA, 81 nt
Filed under: Mesorhizobium sp.
Lineage: Bacteria; Pseudomonadati; Pseudomonadota; Alphaproteobacteria; Hyphomicrobiales; Phyllobacteriaceae
Description: tRNA-Met
Source: RNAcentral